Long non-coding RNA from Acipenser ruthenus (sterlet), 265 nucleotides. RefSeq lists it as uncharacterized. Lineage: Eukaryota; Metazoa; Chordata; Actinopteri; Acipenseriformes; Acipenseridae. The record is from RefSeq and is a predicted model, not a curated record. The transcript has 3 exons.
GCUUCCGUUACCGAGACAACCAGGUCAUGUGACGGGGGAGUGGCUGAGAAUCCCGAAGAUUCCGCUCAGAACGUGACGGAGGAUUCGGGGGCGGGGCUUAACCGGCAGCUAGAAAGCCUGGGACUAAAUUCUGAUGGGCGGGGCGCUGAGGAGAGGGAGAGCGAGGAGAUCAGCAGCAUCCAUCAAUCCAGCCUCGAUGAAGUAGAUGACAAUUGCUUUAUUGAAUCACCAGCAGCCGAGGAGAGGACAGAGAGUCAGACACAGG